This 492-nucleotide ribosomal RNA is filed under the name uncultured bacterium. RNAcentral's name for it is "partial 16S ribosomal RNA". It matches the Rfam family "Bacterial small subunit ribosomal RNA", at positions 29 to 507 of the family's 1533-position model. The record is from RNAcentral.
AGUGAACGCUGGCGGUAGGCCUAACACAUGCAAGUCGAACGGCAGCACAGUAAGAGCUUGCUCUUACGGGUGGCGAGUGGCGGACGGGUGAGGAAUACAUCGGAAUCUACUUUUUCGUGGGGGAUAACGUAGGGAAACUUACGCUAAUACCGCAUACGACCUACGGGUGAAAGCAGGGGAUCUUCGGACCUUGCGCGAUUGAAUGAGCCGAUGUCGGAUUAGCUAGUUGGCGGGGUAAAGGCCCACCAAGGCGACGAUCCGCAGCUGGUCUGAGAGGAUGAUCAGCCACAGUGGAACUGAGACACGGUCCAGACUCCUACGGGAGGCAGCAGUGGGGAAUAUUGGACAAUGGGCGCAAGCCUGAUCCAGCCAUACCGCGUGGGUGAAGAAGGCCUUCGGUUUGUAAAGACCUUUUGUUGGGAAAGAAAAGCAGCAGGUUAAUACCCCGCUGUUCUGACGGUACCCAAAGAAUAAGCACCGGCUAACUUCGUG